AAGGUAGCAUAAUAAAUUGACUUUUAAUUGAAGCCUUGAAUGAAAGGAUAAAUGAGUAGUUACUAUAUUAUAUUAUUUAUUAUAAUUUGUUUAAAAGGUGAAAAUCCCUUUUAAAUAUAAUAGACGAGAAGACCCUAGGAGUUUUUUUGUUGGGGCAACAUUAUAGCAUUUAAUCUGUAAUUAUAAAUUAGUAAAACGAGAUUUUCUAAUAAUAACUAAACUACCCUAGGGAUAACAGCAUAAAGUUUGUGACCUCGAUGUUGGACUAGGGAAUUUAAAGUUAACAGCGUUAAAUGAUAGUUCUGUUCGAACUUAUUUACCU
Molecule: ribosomal RNA, 322 nt
Filed under: Hemiplecta salangana
Lineage: Eukaryota; Metazoa; Mollusca; Gastropoda; Stylommatophora; Ariophantidae
Description: partial large subunit ribosomal RNA
Source: RNAcentral